CCUACGGGAGGCUGCAGUGGGGAAUAUUGGGCAAUGGACGCAAGUCUGACCCAGCAACGCCGCGUGAGCGAUGAAGUAUUUCGGUAUGUAAAGCUCUAUCAGCAGGGAAGAAAAUGACGGUACCUGACUAAGAAGCCCAGGCUAACUACGUGCCAGGAGCCGCGGUAAUACGUAGGGGGCAAGCGUUAUCCGGAUUUACUGGGUGGAAAGGGAGCGGAGACGGCUGUGCAAGUCUGGAGUGAAAGGCAUGGGCUCAACCUGUGGACUGCUUUGGAAACUGGGCGGCUAGAGGGUCGGAGAGGCAAGUGGAAUUCCGAGUGUAGCGGUGAAAUGCGUAGAGAUUAGGAGGAACGCCAGUGGCGAAGGCGGCUUGCUGGACGAUGACUGACGUUGAGGUGCGAAAGCGUGGGGAGCAAACAGGAUUAGAUACCCUAGUAGUC
RNAcentral lists this ribosomal RNA (440 nucleotides) under uncultured bacterium. RNAcentral's name for it is "partial 16S ribosomal RNA". It matches the Rfam family "Bacterial small subunit ribosomal RNA", at positions 338 to 795 of the family's 1533-position model. The record is from RNAcentral.